UCGGUGCAACAAAAGACUUGAGUUCAAGUGGUGGCAUUGGUCUGCUUGGACAUCAGGUGACUUCUCCAUCUGAACCUGCCCUACCAGCCCUUUUGGAGUGCCACCAAGCUGCCAAAGUGGGUCUAAACCCUGGAAAAGCCGGGAUUUCAGUGGAGAGUUGGGAUCCUUCAGCCUGGAGAAGAGAAGGCGCUGGAGAGACCCAAAGGCCCCAAACCAUUGCUCCAUCCCACCCAUGCUGAUGCCCGAAUCCUCUUCCCACGAGGGCCUCGAUUCCAUCCUGCGGCCAAAACCUGGACCCUUCGCGCUCCUCCCUCCACCUCCUGCCCGGAAGAGCUCCAGCGUCUUCUCCCCGGGCAGAGCCAUGAGGAGACGGAGGAGGAAUGUGAGCAGGG
Strigops habroptila (Kakapo) is the source of this 392-nucleotide long non-coding RNA. RefSeq lists it as uncharacterized. The transcript is spliced from 3 exons. The record is from RefSeq and is a predicted model, not a curated record. NCBI's taxonomy places the organism in Eukaryota, Metazoa, Chordata, Aves, Psittaciformes, Psittacidae.